This 86-nucleotide non-coding RNA is filed under the name delta proteobacterium NaphS2. Lineage: Bacteria; Deltaproteobacteria. The record is from RNAcentral.
CCUUCUGGCGGGUUGUGUGCGGGAGCCUUCGGGCUCACCGGUGUCCUUGAGACCGGUCUGCUAACCGUAUGCAGCCCGCCUCUUUU